Mus musculus (house mouse) is the source of this 3386-nucleotide RNA transcript. It is a transcript of the gene named hydroxysteroid dehydrogenase like 1, with no coding region annotated. The transcript is spliced from 5 exons. NCBI's taxonomy places the organism in Eukaryota, Metazoa, Chordata, Mammalia, Rodentia, Muridae. The record is from RefSeq and is marked validated.
GCGCCCCGUAGCGGGGAACUCUGGUUCCGCGCUCUAGGCAGCCGCUCAGCUCCCUGAGCAGGUGUCCCGGGCCUGGUCCUCGGCAGGAGGCUCGCACAGGCGACACGCCCCGGGACGGCCCUUUUGUCGGUGUCUCUUUAUCCUCCUUUAUUCCUGGUCGCUAGGUCUAAGUAGGUUCUAAGUCUCAGGACUGAUGCAGAAUGGCCGCGCUGCUGAAGAAAGCGCGCAGCUUCUGCAGAGCCCGGUCGCCAUGGCUGCUGUUGACAGCUUCUACCUCUUGUACAGGGAAAUCGCCAGGUCUUGCAAUUGCUACAUGGAAGCCUUGGCCUUGGUGGGAGCCUGGUACACAGCCCGAAAGAGCAUCACCGUCAUCUGUGACUUCUACAGCCUGGUCAGGCUGCACUUCAUCCCUCGCCUGGGGAGCAGGCCCGACCUGAUCAAGCAGUAUGGAAGAUGGGCGGUCAUCAGUGGGGCCACCGAUGGCAUUGGGAAGGCCUAUGCGGAGGAGUUAGCGAGCCACGGACUCAAUGUCAUCCUGAUCAGCCAGGAAGAGGAGAAGCUGCAGGCCGCGGCCAAGCACAUAGCCGACACCUACAGGGUAGAGACGCUUGUCCUGGUGGCAGACUUCAGCAGAGGCCGGGAGAUUUACGCCCCCAUCCGAGAAGCCCUGAGAGACAGAGACAUUGGCAUCCUGGUGAACGACGUGGGUGCAUUCUACCCCUACCCUCAGUAUUUCAGCCAGGUGCCCGAGGACACGCUCUGGGACAUCGUGAACGUGAACAUCGCAGCCGCCAGCCUGAUGGUGCACAUCGUGCUGCCAGGGAUGGUGGAGAGAAAGAAGGGCGCCAUCGUCACCGUGUCUUCUGGUUCCUGCUGCAAGCCCACCCCACAGCUGGCUGCCUUCUCUGCGUCCAAGGUGGAGACAGGCAAGCCUCUCUGCUCCUGGGGUUGCUUUCAAGUUCCUUCCAGGUCAUAAGUCCUCCUCCUCUGCCCCCCAGGCCUAUCUGGACCACUUCAGCCGAGCCCUGCAGUACGAGUAUGCCUCUAAGGGGAUCUUUGUGCAGAGCCUGAUCCCCUUCUACGUGACCAGCAGCGGGGCUGCGCCCGCCAGCUUCCUGCACAGAUGCCCGUGGCUGGCGCCGUCGCCGAGAGUGUAUGCACAGCAUGCAGUGUCGACCCUGGGCAUUUCAAAAAGGACCACAGGCUACUGGUCCCAUUCCAUUCAGUUCCUCUUCGCACAGUAUAUGCCCGAGUGGCUCUGGGUGUGGGGUGCAAACCUCCUCAACCGCUCCUUACGGAAAGAGGCCUUAUCCUGCCAAGCCUGAGCCAGGAGGCUGGGGAGAAGCUUGGUUAAGCCACGGUCACCUACGGUUUCUGGCGUUUGGAAGAACACAUUCACUCCACCUGUGUAUCGUCUCCUACCAAGUCCCUAGUGCAUCGCCAUCCUUCAUGAGGCCGACUGUUACGUCUGUGAGCAAACCUCAGGGACCACAUGGUUGGCCCAGGGCGCAUGGCCAUGAAGCCUGAGGACAGAACGGGCUGCUUCCUCAACACUUGGAGCGUGACCAGCUCGCUCCUGUAUUGUCCGUCUUGUGCUGGUCUUUUUCUUUUUCUUUCUUUCUUUUUUUUUUUUUUUUGAGAAGUCACCUGUUUUCCUUUUACAGGUGACUGAUUAUAGUAUUGGCUUUCAAGAUGUUCCUCAGGCUGGGCGUGGGGGCUCACGCCUUUAAUGCCAGCACUUGGGAGCUUGAGACAGGCCUGGGCUACAUAGUGAGUUCCAGGCCAGCCAGGGACAUGCAGUUAAACCUGUCCUUGAAAAAAAAAUUAAUGUUCAUCAGGAAGACAACAGAAAAGUGUUAUUUUCAAACUGUGAACUGGGAGUGCAGGUGUUAACAGUAGACAUGUGUCAUGCUGCAUAGCUCCAUGGGGGGUGUCUGUGUGUACACACUGCCUUUCCCUAAGGUCCCUUAGAACCAUGUGUGUGCUGUGUGUCUGGGUGAAGUUAUCGAUAAGACUUUACAGUAGACUCUGCCAAGACGAGGUUAUGAGGGAGCCCUUCCCAGAGUAAACGCCUGGGCUACUCCCUUUCAUGUGCUGAAAGACUUUCAGGCUCUACGCUGUGUGGGCUUGCCAUGUCCUACGACAUUGUUUCUUUGAGUACUUUUGUCUUUCCCACUCUGUAGGUGGGUUUUGUUGCUAGGCUGGGACACAUAAUAGGUUGUCUUUGGAUGUACCUAAGUGGUGGUUCCUCACUGAGUCCGUGUUCUAUCUGACCCCCUUCAGAGCUUGUUAGAGCUGGCUUUCAUACACUUUUCUAUGUAAUCCAAUUUCUCCCCAGGAGCGUUGUUGAUAAAAUCAUCACGUGUUUGUGGAAUAGUGGUUGAAAUAUGGGCAGCUUUUGUGCGUGGUAUAAGGUAGUUAUUGAAGUGAUGUUAGCUCGUUUUUAGCCUGUGUGAUGAAUGUGUACAUUGUAGGGAAUGCUUUUAUUAGCGUGAGGGUCCUUUACGUAUAUCCCACAAUAUGGGGGCACACUGAAACUUAGUGGCUUUCGUUGGUUUAUAAAACCAACCUCUUGGGAGGGUCUCAUACCCAGCACGUGGAAGCUUGGAAGUCAUGGCAGCUUGUGCAGAGUGGAGGAUGUGGCGUUGCCCCUUGUGGUGCUGCGCUGUGCCUGGGAAGUGAGAAUGAGCGGCACGCUGGGACUUGGAUGGAGUUGCUUUAGUGACAUCCCAUCACCUGUAGGCCCAAGUGCACUUUGCCCAGGACAUCAGAUGUGCCAUUUUAAGUUGUGACUCAGAUCUAGAUCAGUGUCUUCAUGUCCUCAGAUCAUGGGCAGACUACCAUGCUUGGAGACAGAGGAGGAGGAGCCUCGGCGGGGACGGCUACCUUACUGCUGAGAACCUUCGUGCAUGUGAUAGGCGGCAGUACCUCCACCUGAGACCUAAUCACGCAUGGUGAUUAGGGAGGAAGGCAGGAGACUGAGGGGUUCAAGGCCAGCAUGGGCUAUAUAGUGAAACUCUGGUUCAGGAAACAAAAACAGCAGCAGAGACGCACUGUCCGCUCUGUGUAAGGUCCUGUGGCCCAGUAUUCAGACUUGUCUAUCAAGUGCGGAGUCCUUGCUCCAUGAUGAGGAGUCAGUGAUGUUCUCUCAGCAGGACUCAGCUAGAACUCGGAGCACAGUGAUCCGUGGCUGCAGCAGAAGACUCGAAUCAGGCACCUUUAGGCUUCCUAGCUCUCAUAGGCAGACCCUCUCUGCUGAGCUAGUCUGCCUGCCCACUGUGGACAUGGCUUUUUACCAAGGAAGGAGGAACUCGGAACCUUUGUAACUCAUCCUGUGAAUCAGAACGUAACAAUAAAAGCAUCACUGUUUCCUUCAGGUCCCGCCA